AUAAAGCCUUGAAUGGAUAUCUUGGCAUAAAAAGAGAAUAGGGCGUUAAAUCCAACGAAAUGCUACUAGGAGGUGGAUAAAACCCUGUGAGCAGUAGAUACCCUUUGAGUAAACUCAGAGCUUGUAGAAGCAUAAAACACGUUGAACUGAAACAUCUAAGUAAACGUGGAGAGAAAUCAACCGAGAGUCCGUUAGUUGUGGCGAGCGAACGCGGAUUAGACCAGUUAUAAUACUAUUUAUUAUUUAUUAACCUUAUUUAAAUCUUUGGAAAAGGAUGCCAUAGCGAGUGAUAGCCUCGUAGGACUUGGUUAUUUGUAUUAAAUUAUAACGUAUGAGUAGACCGGGCUAGAUAACCUGGUCGAACAUGGGAGGCCCACCUUCCAAGUCUAAUAACUUUUUAUGACCGAUAGAGAACAAGUACCGUAAGGGAAAGAUGAAAAGAACCCUGAAAAGGGAGUGAAAUAGAUCUUGAAAUUCAUUGCUAACAAGCAGUCGGAGCAAUAUAUAGUAUUUAUUAUUAUAUAGUUGUGACGGCGUACCUUUUGCAUAAUGGGCCAGCGAGUAUAAAGCAUUAGCAAGCUUAAGCUAAUAAGUGUAGGCGAAGAGAAAUCGAGUCCGAAAAACGGCGCGUGCUGUAUUAAUACGCACAUAGUUGAUGCUUUAUGACCCGAAACCAGGUGAUCUAAUUAUGAACAGGUUGAAGACUGGGUAAAACUAGUUGGAGGACCGAACUUGUAGGCGUUGCAAAGCCUUAAGAUGAUUUGUGAUUAGGGGUGAAAGGCCAAUCAAACCUGGAGUUAGCUGGUUUUCUGCGAAAUCUAUUUAGGUAGAGCGUCCAAUUAGUUCAGCAUGGGGUAGAGCACUGUUUAGGCUAGGGGGGUCCAAAGCCUUACCAACCCUAGAUAAACUCCGAAUACGUGUUUGCGGUAACAAAGAGCCGCACGUAGUUAUUAUAUAUAACACGGAACAUAUGGACAGACAGGCUAUAGGCGCUAAGGUCUAUAGCCAAGAGGGAAACAGCCCAGACCAUCCGCUAAGGUCCCUAAACAAUUACUGAGUGGUUAAGGAAGUCUUGAACCAAAAACAACCAGCAGGUAAGCUUAGAAGCAGCUAUCCUUUAAAGAAAGCGUAAUAGCUCACUGGUCUAGGUUUGGGGCGCCAAAGAUUCAACGGGGCUUAAGUAAUUUACCGAAGCGAUGGGCGAUAAGAUUUAGCUAGUGCGUAAGUACUAGGAUUAAAUAAUCGCGGUAGCAGAACGUUCUGUAGGCCUAUGAAGAUCUUUUGUGAAGAAGGUUGGAGGUAUCAGAAGUGAGAAUGCUGGCAUGAGUAACGUAAAAUCCUGUUAAAUUCAGGAUCGCCGGAAAUCCAAGGGUUUCUGCGCACUGUCUGUCAGCGCAGAGUUAAACGGACCCUAAGAAAAUCUACUAAUAUAUUCGAUGGGAAAUAGGUAACUUUCUUCAAAUAAUCCUAAUUCAUCUCUAUGUACGAAAAAAUACCUGCAAUAGGACUAAUUGGUUUAUCCGACUAGUAAAAUUGGAAGUUAUUUUAUUAUAUUUGCAUCAUUUUUUCCUGGAAAAACCUAGAGAUAUUAAAGACCGUACCCUAAACCGACACUGGUGGAUUGGUAUAUUUUACCAAGGCGAAUGAGAUAACCACAUUGAAGGAACUCGGCAAAAUUCCUUUGUAACUUCGGGAUAAAAAGGACCAAAAUGUUUUUUGGUGACACAAAAUUGAGGAUAGCGACUGUUUAUUAAAAACACAGGUCUCUGCUAAAUCGUAAGAUGAUGUAUAGGGACUGACUCCUGCCCGGUGCCGAAAACUUAAGAGGAAGGGUUAGCUUAAGUGCACGCUCAGAAUCUAUGGCUCGGUAAACGGCGGCCGUAACUCUAACGGUCCUAUGGUAGCGAAAUUCCUUGUCUACUAAUUAUAGACCUGCAUGAAUGGAGUAACGACUGUCCUUCUGUCUCCAAUGUGGACUCAGUGAAAUUGAAUUCUCCGUGAAGAUGCGGAGUACCAACGGUUAGACGGUAAGACCCUAUGCACCUUUACUAUAAGCUUACAUUGACGAAGAAGAUCUACUGUGUAGGAUAGGUGGGAGAUUAAUUUAUAAUUUCGGUUAUAUUUUAGUCAAUCUUGAAAUACCACCCUUUAUUUCUUUUGACUCUAACCCGUAUAGGGAACAGUGUAUGCUGGGUAGUUUGACUGGGAUGGUCGCCUGCUAAAGAGUAACGGAGGCGCACAAAGGUAAACUCAAGCGGUUUAGAACUCCGCUGUAGAGCGCAAUAGUAUAAGUUUGCCUGACUGUGAGACUGACAGGUCGAACAGGUACGAAAGUAGGUUAUAGUGAUCCGGAGGCAUUCGUGUGGAAGAGCCUUCGCUUAACGGAUCAAAGGUACGCUAGGGAUAACAGGCUAAUGGUUCCCAAGAGCUCAUAUCGACGGGACCGUUUGGCACCUCGAUGUCGUCUCAUCGCAUCCUGGAGGUGAAGAAGCUUCCAAUGGUUCGGCUGUUCGCCGAUUAAAGCGAUACGUGAGAUGGGUUUAGAACGUCGUGAGACAGUUCGGUUCCUAUCUUCCGUUGGUGUUAAAAAUUGAGAGAGUAGACUCCUAGUACGAGAGGACCGGAGUCUGUCAACCUAUGGUCGACCAGUUGUUGUACCAACAGCACAGCUGGAUAGCUACGUUGAAUUAGAGAACUACUGAAAGCAUCUAAGUAGGAAGCUUUUCUUAAAACAAGUUUUUCAUGAGCUCGUAGAAGAUGACUACGUAGAUAGGCAAAAUGUGAAACCAGGGUAACCUGAAUAGCUCAUUUGUACUAA
This 2818-nucleotide ribosomal RNA is filed under the name Chloroparvula pacifica. RNAcentral's name for it is "large subunit ribosomal RNA". It matches the Rfam family "Bacterial large subunit ribosomal RNA". The record is from RNAcentral. Lineage: Eukaryota; Viridiplantae; Chlorophyta; Chloropicophyceae; Chloropicales; Chloropicaceae.